AGAGUUUGAUCCUGGCUCAGGAUGAACGCUAGCGGCAGGCUUAAUACAUGCAAGUCGUGGGGCAGCGCAGGUAGCAAUACUGGGCGGCGACCGGCAAACGGGUGCGGAACACGUACACAACCUUCCUUCAAGUGGGGAAUAGCCCAGAGAAAUUUGGAUUAAUACCCCGUAACAUAACGAUGUGGCAUCACAUUGUUAUUAUAGCUUCGGCGCUUGUUGAUGGGUGUGCGGCUGAUUAGAUAGUUGGCGGGGUAACGGCCCACCAAGUCUACGAUCAGUAGCUGAUGUGAGAGCAUGAUCAGCCACACGGGCACUGAGACACGGGCCCGACUCCUACGGGAGGCAGCAGUAAGGAAUAUUGGUCAAUGGACGAAAGUCUGAACCAGCCAUGCCGCGUGAAGGAUUAAGGUCCUCUGGAUUGUAAACUUCUUUUAUCUGGGACGAAAAAAGGCGAUUCUUCGUCACUUGACGGUACCAGAUGAAUAAGCACCGGCUAACUCCGUGCCAGCAGCCGCGGUAAUACGGAGGGUGCAAGCGUUAUCCGGAUUCAC
Molecule: ribosomal RNA, 551 nt
Filed under: uncultured freshwater bacterium
Lineage: Bacteria
Description: bacterial SSU rRNA
Rfam family: Bacterial small subunit ribosomal RNA
Source: RNAcentral